AAUACCAUAAAAAACCUAAAAUCGGUGUUAAAAACUCUUUCUGGCCAAUUUCGAAAUUCUGGCACGGCGGCACCGCCGCUUACAGCGGCAGUUUACCUUGGGUUGGUCGUUUUUUACCAGUUUUGAUCGGUUUUGUACUCAUCCAUGCGAAAAAACACACUAAGGGACCUCGGUUGAUAGAAAAAAGUUGAAAAACAGAAGCUUACCAGCAGCGGGCUUUUUUGGUGCGGCAGUUCUGCCGGCUCACCUUUGCGGUUGAGUAUUUUUCUUCAGUCAACCUGUGAGAAACA
RNAcentral lists this long non-coding RNA (290 nucleotides) under Carica papaya (papaya). RNAcentral's name for it is "long non-coding RNA (CPAP_LNC006284)". Lineage: Eukaryota; Viridiplantae; Streptophyta; Magnoliopsida; Brassicales; Caricaceae. The record is from RNAcentral.